GGCGUGAACCCUAGAACUGGGGGAGAGAGAGAGAGAGAGAGAGAGAGAGGAAGCGAUGGGGAGAUCGAGCGGAGGCGGAGGGGAGAUGAUCUACUGCUAUUUUGUUCGUUGAUUAUUUUUCUGAGAUUUCUAUGUUCUUUGGAUUUUCUGAGAUGAUCGAUGCACGAAUCUUCUUCUUCUUAUUCUUCUUCUUCUUUAUUUUGAAGUUUUUGGGAGGUGAUUUGGGUUGACAGAAGAGAGUGAGCACGCAGCGGGGAGGACAUCAGCUGCGGUGACAUUGCUGUUGCGUGCUCGCUGCUCUGUCUGUCAUCCCGAUGAUCUCUGCGCCACCGGCGCCGCACAGUCACCAGCCGCCCAGAUCUGCGUCCUGUUUCUUGCUUCCAUGGAGAAAUGGGACGAGAGUAACAAGAUGUUGGCUCGAUCGAGCUUUAUUUUAUUCUAUUUUAUUUUAUCUUUUCGGUUUUGCCUUCGUCCUCGAGCUUUGGGAUGCAGCAGGCCACCAUUCAUCUUAUCCGAUGUCGGUUACCUUUAUCUUCCCCACUCUGUCCCGUCAGCUGGAGUCUUGUCCAAGUGGGUUUCCGAGGAGGCAACAGCAUGUGAUUACAGGGUGUACUUGUUUCUCGUCUCGAACGCUUCCUCAUUUUGGUUUUAUUUUACUCGAUUUAGACCAUAUUGGAACGAGAACCUGAAUAAAAAUGGUAAAAAUAACAUCUUCCUACUGAUUUAAGCCUGGAAGCGUGACUUCCGAGAUUAAUUUUUUUGCGGGGGUCGAAUCCUAGGCGAGUACUUUGCAUCGAUGAAUACCUACAUGUACCGCUUGCUUCUGCAUGCCAUCUUUUCGAAUUUAACGGAAUCACUGUUCUUCAUCUGUUUCUAUUUUUAUUCGUUUAAAAAAAAACAAUUCUUUUUACUUGCUGUGUUUCCCAUUUUAUUCUUCCUUGCAGGUUGAUUUCUAGAGCCCUCAUAUCUCCACCUCCACACUCUUAUUUGUUCCAAAUAUGUAGUCGAUCAUUUCUUUGUUGAUAUCUUCAUUUUGUGAUUCAAAAGGACCACCCUCGCCUUUAGUCCCAUUUGUCAGCAUCUUCUCGACAGAUAUGGUAAAGUGUGUUCGCCUUUAGUCCGUUCGUCAGUUUGUUUUUCUGUUGGGAAAGUGUGUUCUUUGACGACGAAGCUCCAAGAGGCCUUGUUGAGCGUGGCUUUGUUUCUUUCAUCUGGUAACUGAUAGAGUUACAUCCAUUAUUAAUGGACGAAUACACUCUGUGAACAGCUUCCAUCUAUCGAGAUCCUCUUGUUCUUACAAAAAAAGAUGUCAAAAGUUCAUGUAAUAUAUAGUGAAGAAAGUUAAGAAACAUCGAUAUCUCUCACUUUGAGGAGUUUUUCUAAUCGCUGAAUCGGCCAAGAUCUUGCAAGAUUGAAAAGAAACAAGAAAAAUCUUAUCUCAAUAUGAGAAUGAUGGCCGUACAAUAAUGGGGAAAGGAGGACGUGCAAGGGAGAAAAGAACACUAGAGGAGCUGCGAGAAUUUCUUGCCUAUGUGCGAGCCGACGAAAGGGAGAACGGAAGACAGUAAUUUAGGGUUUUCUAUUACUGCUGCUCUUCCGCCCCAGCCAAUCAACGCUAGCUGCUUGAGAUUAUCCGUCGCUUAGUACCUCCAGGAGCUUCUCUUCCCUACCGAUCGACACUGGUCGAUCGGUAGUCUUUGUCGAAGCUUCCCCGCCGACUUGAGCUCCUCCUUCCCAACCAACCGAUCGAGUCCACUUGAUGUUAAUUUCUCACCAAGGUCUGAAACUUUCUAUUUGAUGUAUACUUUACCUAUUAGCAAUGGCGGAUCUAGAAAUUCAAAUAUAGAGGGGUGAUUUACGUGGAACAAAGGACGGUAUCCUCUAUCUCUAUUAGUGAAAUCCCACGAUCCGUCCCUGCCUAUUAAGAUAACUGAACGAGGUGGAGUAUGAUCAAUUAUAUUUGUAACCAAUGAAAACUGUGUUUAUGUAAUAUAUGCUUUAUAUAUGUUAUAUAUGAGUUUUUAGGUUCACAUUAAAUAUUUAUACAAAAUUGCACAGGAUGAUUUAAUAUAA
Zingiber officinale is the source of this 2073-nucleotide long non-coding RNA. RefSeq lists it as uncharacterized. The record is from RefSeq and is a predicted model, not a curated record. The transcript has 3 exons. Lineage: Eukaryota; Viridiplantae; Streptophyta; Magnoliopsida; Zingiberales; Zingiberaceae.